Molecule: ribosomal RNA, 513 nt
Filed under: uncultured bacterium
Lineage: Bacteria
Description: bacterial SSU rRNA
Rfam family: Bacterial small subunit ribosomal RNA
Source: RNAcentral
CGCUGGCGGCGUGCCUAAUACAUGCAAGUCGAACGCACUCUCGUUUAGAUUGAAGGAGCUUGCUCCUGAUUGAUAAACAUUUGAGUGAGUGGCGGACGGGUGAGUAACACGUGGGUAACCUGCCCUAAAGUGGGGAUAACAUUUGGAAACAGAUGCUAAUACCGCAUAAAACCUAACACCGCAUGGUGUAGGGUUGAAAGAUGGUUUCGGCUAUCACUUUAGGAUGGACCCGCGGUGCAUUAGUUAGUUGGUGAGGUAAAGGCUCACCAAGACCGUGAUGCAUAGCCGACCUGAGAGGGUAAUCGGCCACACUGGGACUGAGACACGGCCCAGACUCCUACGGGAGGCAGCAGUAGGGAAUCUUCCACAAUGGACGAAAGUCUGAUGGAGCAACGCCGCGUGAGUGAAGAAGGUUUUCGGAUCGUAAAACUCUGUUGUUGGAGAAGAAUGUAUCUGAUAGUAACUGAUCAGGUAGUGACGGUAUCCAACCAGAAAGCCACGGCUAACUACGUG